This 374-nucleotide ribosomal RNA is filed under the name uncultured prokaryote. RNAcentral's name for it is "bacterial SSU rRNA". It matches the Rfam family "Bacterial small subunit ribosomal RNA", at positions 524 to 896 of the family's 1533-position model. The record is from RNAcentral.
CACGUAGGGGGCGAGCGUUGUCCGGAUUUAUUGGGCGUAAAGAGCUCGUAGGCGGUUCCGUCAGUCGGGUGUGAAAACUCUGGGCUCAACCCAGAGACGCCACCCGAUACUGCGGUGACUAGAGUCCGGUAGGGGAGUGCGGAAUUCCUGGUGUAGCGGUGAAAUGCGCAGAUAUCAGGAGGAACACCAACGGCGAAGGCAGCACUCUGGGCCGGUACUGACGCUGAGGAGCGAAAGCGUGGGGAGCGAACAGGAUUAGAUACCCUGGUAGUCCACGCCGUAAACGUUGGGCACUAGGUGUGGGACCUCCAACGGGUUCCGUGCCGCAGCUAACGCAUUAAGUGCCCCGCCUGGGGAGUACGGCCGCAAGGCUA